Molecule: long non-coding RNA, 2087 nt
Organism: Bubalus bubalis (water buffalo)
Lineage: Eukaryota; Metazoa; Chordata; Mammalia; Artiodactyla; Bovidae
Exons: 2
Source: RefSeq, a predicted model, not a curated record
GGCUGCCGCUUCCAGAAUUUGCCUAGAGCGGGGGUAGGAGGGCAGUGGAAAUCACCUACAGCUGCGUCUCGGUCGCUAACAGUUUGGUGCCUCCGGGCUGACUGAUUACACCGGGGAGGAGGAGGGGAUUAGAGAGAAUAGCUCCGGCGCGUCACGGAAAAGGGUUACUGCUGCUCCUCCUCCUCUUCCACACCCCUUUGGAUUCCAACCCCGAGUUCCCCCAUCCCCUGGUUAAAAAGAGAGAGAGAGACAGAGAGAGAGAGAAAAGCACUUCCCUCUUACCUUUCCCGGGAGAAAGUGCGUCCCAGCAGCGCCGUCUAGCGUCCUUACCGGAGUACGCCAGCCUAAAGGGCUAGGCCGAGCGCGGAACCCAGUGAGUGAAGGCAGGGAAAACCGCUAAGCAAAGUUUGUCAACUAUCCCGAUCCCCAGUUCCACCCGUUGAGCAGCUCUCUCCAGCUGUUCUCCUGAGGCUACUCCAUCGCUCUGCAUUAGCUGCGGAGAGUGACGCGAGCAAGCGAGCCAAAGACUGAGACAGAGACCGGAACGGACAGCUAGAACAGAACGUUCUGUGCGCGCGGCGAGCCUGCGGACCCACACCUUGCUUCAGUUUCCGUGACUAUUUGGCCUUGAUCCACUAUCCCCUGGACUUUUAAGGCCGAGACUGUGCACAACUAAAGUUACCGUCCCUGUCUCACUUUUCAUGACAAGUUUAUGAAUUCUUUUUUCCCAUUGACCAUCUCAGAAAAUUUGGCAAAACCCCACCCUGGAAAAUUCUUUCUGCAAUUGGUUAGGUCCAGGGAUCGAGAGAGGUCAGGUGUGGAAGGAAAGGUCCUUUUGGCAGGAACCAAGUUAUCCUCCCAGGUGUUUGGUGUUUAUAGGUGCAGUGUGGUGGGGGGAGGGCUGUAUUUUGAAACAGCGGAAAGAUCUUAGAAUUUCUGCUUCUGUUGUCCUCUUUUCAGAUACAAGCUCAGUCUUCCGAUGGGGACUAGAGAGCCAGUUUUCCCUUGCUCUUUGCUAUAAAGCUCAUGUAAACGUCCUUCUGCCUGAGUGCCUGCCCUGAGCAAUCCGGAUCACAACUUCCAGCCAUCCAGCUGCACCUGCAUUAAUGUUUUUCCGGCUCAACGUAAAGUGCUUCCAAAAGGCUGGGAACUGCAGCAAUUCAGGGUGGAAGAACACUGCCUCUUCACAUCUCACCUGCCUAAUGCCUCCACUCUUGCCUUUAGCAUAGCCCCAAGCCCUCAUGCCCUGGGCCCUAGCUGAGCAGCUAGGCUGUCUAUAGGUGAGGCCAUCUGGCCAAACCAGGAGAGCUCUCAUUUACAUAUAAAGGUGUUAAGGAGCCAGCAGCCAGGACAAAGGGAGCUAACCCAGGGUAGCAGCCAAUAAUAAAUAUCCCUAAGCAAUUUGUCAAGUAAACAAGAGAUUUUAAAGAAAUAACAAGAAACAAACAAGCAAACAAACACCUAGAAAGCACUGUUCCUGUGGAGCCCUUUUAUCAUCUUUUAUGUCCAAUUCCACCUAACUUUACUCUAACACUCAGUGCCUUUUUGUAUACAAGUUCUAUGUCUCCUGCCCUAUCAAAACUCACUCUCCCAUGUACCUACCACACUUUCAGUACUCUUCCUGCUGAUGACAAUGUGUCGGUGUUCCAGUCUGAUAAAUACCUAACUAGUCUAGCUAACCUUACUCCCCUGGGUAAUAUCAUCCUUCACCAGAGGCUUUGAGAAGAUUUUCCACAAUUGAAGAAUUCAGGCACUAUGGCAGACCAGUGGAUUUUCUUUGGAUGGAGGAAGGGCUCUUGGUACCCAUCAAAGAGGGCUGCUGUUUGGCCUAUUCAGCAGUUCUGGCUUAUGGUUAAAUGAAGUUAUUGCAAGAGAGUCAAGGAAUAUAGGAAUAAGGAGAUCAAACAGGAACAAAAUGCCAAGAAGAUGGGAAGGAACCACUGACUUCUCAAAAAUAAUGUCUGGGACCUUGCUCCUCAAAGUGAUAUCCAUAACCAGCAGCAUUGGGGCAUCACCUGGCAGCUUGCUAGAAUUGCAGAAUCUUAGAACCCAGCCCCGGAGAAGGCAAUGGCACCCCACUCCAGUAC